GCCGCUCGUGACUCUGCGAGAAGUCCAUUGAACCUUAUCAUUUAGAGGAAGGAGAAGUCGUAACAAGGUUUCCGUAGGUGAACCUGCGGAAGGAUCAUUG
This 100-nucleotide ribosomal RNA is filed under the name Liparis pingxiangensis. RNAcentral's name for it is "partial 18S ribosomal RNA". It matches the Rfam family "Eukaryotic small subunit ribosomal RNA", at positions 1732 to 1831 of the family's 1831-position model. Lineage: Eukaryota; Viridiplantae; Streptophyta; Magnoliopsida; Asparagales; Orchidaceae. The record is from RNAcentral.